GGAUAAUGGUUCACCGCUUACAUUUUUCUUUGAAGAAUACUUCGAAGAAAAUUCGAUGUAGAAUUCUUCGAUACCUGGUAAUGCAUAAAAGUAAGCUAUACGGCUAAAUUCUACUGUGUUCAUAUUUACAAAUCAAGUAAGUACAUGAAAAACGACAAAUACAAAUUGAUGGAAUAAAA
Long non-coding RNA from Bactrocera neohumeralis, 179 nucleotides. RefSeq lists it as uncharacterized. Lineage: Eukaryota; Metazoa; Arthropoda; Insecta; Diptera; Tephritidae. The record is from RefSeq and is a predicted model, not a curated record. The transcript is spliced from 2 exons.